GAGAGAGGUCUAAAAACAACAAAGACUGCUAACCUUUGCUCCCAUGGUUAGACUCCAUGGCUCACUCG
This 68-nucleotide transfer RNA is filed under the name Acestrorhynchus sp. NM-2010. Its description in RNAcentral is "tRNA-Ser (AGY)". The record is from RNAcentral. Lineage: Eukaryota; Metazoa; Chordata; Actinopteri; Characiformes; Acestrorhynchidae.